Molecule: ribosomal RNA, 301 nt
Filed under: uncultured bacterium
Lineage: Bacteria
Description: partial 16S ribosomal RNA
Rfam family: Bacterial small subunit ribosomal RNA
Source: RNAcentral
CAGUCGCCACGGGAAUACAGAGGGUGCGAGCGUUAAUCGGAUUUACUGGGCGUAAAGCGUGCGUAGGCGGCUUCUUAAGUCGGAUGUGAAAUCCCUGAGCUUAACUUAGGAAUUGCAUUCGAUACUGGGAAGCUAGAGUAUGGGAGAGGAUGGUAGAAUUCCAGGUGUAGCGGUGAAAUGCGUAGAGAUCUGGAGGAAUACCGAUGGCGAAGGCAGCCAUCUGGCCUAAUACUGACGCUGAGGUACGAAAGCAUGGGGAGCAAACAGGAUUAGAUACCCGAGUAGUCCCUGUCUCUUAUAA